Molecule: long non-coding RNA, 1563 nt
Filed under: Fragaria vesca (wild strawberry)
Lineage: Eukaryota; Viridiplantae; Streptophyta; Magnoliopsida; Rosales; Rosaceae
Description: long non-coding RNA (FVES_LNC000046)
Source: RNAcentral
GGAUAUAUCACCAUACCUAGCUUCCAUCUUUUUGCCACGUAUUGCCGGCCCCCAUACGUACUCAACCCUAUAAAUCAAACCCUUACAUUUCAGAGUUGAAUCGUUUAAGAAAAAAUGCCAGACCAUCCACCACCACCACACGGCGGCCACGGUCACGCACCACCCCCAGGUCCGGGACACCACGAGCCUCCUCCGCCCCAUGGCCAUGCUCCUCCUCCGGGGCCUCAUGCACCUCCUCCGGGACCCCAUGCACCUCCUCCGGGACCCCAUGCACCUCCUCCGGAACCCCAUGCACCUCCUCCGGGACCCCAUGCACCUCCUCAUGAUCCACACAAGCCACAUGACUGUCACCACGGUCACCACCACCCAUGAACCGAACUAGUCAUGAGGCCACGAUCGAGAAGCUAGUCUCAGCAAGUUGUUAUCUAUUUAUCUUUGUGCCUGUAAUGUGAUCUAGCUGCGGUUGUAGUUCUGAGUUGCUGGGUUUACUGGCUUUGCUCCAUUGAUCUCAUCGUUAUGUAAUGACUAAAAUAUGAGGACUAUGUAUGUAUCCAAAAGAAGGCUGAUCAUAUAUGUAUAAUAAGAAGAGUACUGGCUUUGUGGUUUAUGUAUAAUCCGCUUGUGUAAAACUUCUUCUUUUAUCCGUCUAAAUGUGAUGUAUAAUCAGAAAAUAUGGCCAGUUUGUCAUCUUGACCAACCUGAACUUACAAACUAAUUAAUUAAGUCAAUCUCCCCAAUUUCAUCAAUCUUCAUUAGGAUUUCAUCACUAGCUCAUUCCUUCACAGAUAAUUAACCAUUUGCUCGAUUGCUCUUAACAAACUGUAAUAGCCAAGAGGCAAACGCAUCCAUCUAAAUUCUAAAAAGUUAUUAACACAGGCUAGGGGUAAAUUAUCCUUUGUUCAGACCAAUCUCACAGUUGAAGCGAUGAAUUGGCUAAAACAAAAGCCUACGGGCAGAAAAACAAAGCAUCUCUAUUCGUACGGAAGAAUGACUUCCAUAUAUAGUAAGCCUUAUAGUUAUAACACCGUAAGUGUAUAAGAAUAGGAAUUCAUAAACGCAAUAAGAAGAAGACCGUGAAAGAGAUCGAAGAUUAAAGCAGGCCUUAAUGUCUUGUAUAUUCUGUACAAAAUUUCAACAGCCAGAUUUUCUCGAUGCAUUCGUCAGCUUCUGUUUGUAACCUUUCUUCUGUCAAAUCCUCCAUGGCUUUUCACGAGCAAUAAUUCUUGCAAGGUCCCAUUAACAAGCCUCACGUACGUUGUUCUUAUCUCCUUUUCCUUAGCUCACCAAGAAUUCAACUAUUACCAAGUGCAGCAACUAGUUUCUGUGAUCGAUCUACGGAAAGUUAAAGUUAUUGCUCAAAAGAGAAAGAGAAAACGGAAGUUAAAGUUCCAUGCUGCCCUAGUUCAAGUACGCACUCAGUUAUGAUCUUGUGGUUCUUACAAUGGAUGAAUGGAUGAAGCAUUACCACACAAAUACUCAGAAGAGAAAAACAAAACAACCACAGUGCACGAUUAACAUGCUAGCUAGCUUUCAUUGUGUGCAAAUAUCCUGAGCUACCAUUCC